RNAcentral lists this ribosomal RNA (644 nucleotides) under Nitzschia reversa. RNAcentral describes it as "SSU rRNA". It matches the Rfam family "Eukaryotic small subunit ribosomal RNA", at positions 450 to 1102 of the family's 1831-position model. The record is from RNAcentral. Lineage: Eukaryota; Bacillariophyta; Bacillariophyceae; Bacillariales; Bacillariaceae.
UUCCCCAGGGAAGGGUAGGACAAUAAAUAACAAUGCCGGGCCUUUGUAGGUCUGGCAUUGGAUGAGAACAAUUUAAACCCCUUAUCGAGUAUCAAUUGGAGGGCAAGUCUGGUGCCAGCAGCCGCGGUAAUUCCAGCUCCAAUAGCGUAUAUUAAAGUUGUUGCAGUUAAAAAGCUCGUAGUUGGAUUUGUGGCAGUCGCGUGCAGCCCGGCAUUCGUGCCGGUGCUUGCUAGCGUCGCCAUCCUUGGGUGGAACCUGUGUGGCAUUAGGUUGUCGUGCAGGGGAUGCCCAUCGUUUACUGUGAAAAAAUUAGAGUGUUCAAAGCAGGCUUAUGCCGUUGAAUAUGUUAGCAUGGAAUAAUAAGAUAGGACCUUGGUACUAUUUUGUUGGUUUGCGCACCAAGGUAAUGAUUAAUAGGGACAGUUGGGGGUAUUCGUAUUCCAUUGUCAGAGGUGAAAUUCUUGGAUUUCUGGAAGACGAACUACUGCGAAAGCAUUUACCAAGGAUGUUUUCAUUAAUCAAGAACGAAAGUUAGGGGAUCGAAGAUGAUUAGAUACCAUCGUAGUCUUAACCAUAAACUAUGCCGACAAGGGAUUGGCGGAGUUUCGUUUUGUCUCCGUCAGCACCUUAUGGGAAAAUCACAA